This 492-nucleotide ribosomal RNA is filed under the name uncultured bacterium. Its description in RNAcentral is "partial 16S ribosomal RNA". It matches the Rfam family "Bacterial small subunit ribosomal RNA", at positions 29 to 507 of the family's 1533-position model. The record is from RNAcentral.
AGUGAACGCUGGCGGUAGGCCUAACACAUGCAAGUCGAACGGCAGCACAGUAAGAGCUUGCUCUUACGGGUGGCGAGUAGCGGACGGGUGAGGAAUACAUCGGAAUCUACUUUUUCGUGGGGGAUAACGUAGGGAAACUUACGCUAAUACCGCAUACGACCUACGGGUGAAAGCAGGGGAUCUUCGUACCUUGCGCGAUUGAAUGAGCCGAUGUCGGAUUAUCUAGUUGGCGGGGUAAAGUCCCCCCAAGGCGACAACCCGUAGCUGGACUGAGAGGGUGAUCGGCGAAACUGGAACUGACACACGGUCCGGGCCCCAGAGGGGGGCAGCAAUGGGGAAUAUUGGGCAAUGGGGGCAAGCCUGAUCCAUCCAUACCGCGUGGGUGAAGAAGGCCUUCGGGUUGUAAAUCCCUUCUGUUGGGAAAGAAAAGCAGCAGGUAAACACCCCGCCGUUCUGACGGUACCCAACGAAUAAGCACCGGCUAACUUCGUG